GACGAACGCUGGCGGCGUGCUUAACACAUGCAAGUCGAACGGAAAGGCCCUGCUUUUGUGGGGUGCUCGAGUGGCGAACGGGUGAGUAACACGUGAGUAACCUGCCCUUGACUUUGGGAUAACUUCAGGAAACUGGGGCUAAUACCGGAUAGGAGCUCCUGCUGCAUGGUGGGGGUUGGAAAGUUUCGGCGGUUGGGGAUGGACUCGCGGCUUAUCAGCUUGUUGGUGGGGUAGUGGCUUACCAAGGCUUUGACGGGUAGCCGGCCUGAGAGGGUGACCGGCCACAUUGGGACUGAGAUACGGCCCAGACUCCUACGGGAGGCAGCAGUGGGGAAUAUUGCACAAUGGGCGGAAGCCUGAUGCAACAACGCCGCGUGCGGGAUGACGGCCUUCGGGUUGUAAACCGCUUUCGCCUGUGACGAAGCGUGAGUGACGGUAAUGGGUAAAGAAGCACCGCUAACUACGUG
Molecule: ribosomal RNA, 467 nt
Filed under: uncultured bacterium
Lineage: Bacteria
Description: partial 16S ribosomal RNA
Rfam family: Bacterial small subunit ribosomal RNA
Source: RNAcentral